Molecule: unclassified non-coding RNA, 329 nt
Filed under: uncultured bacterium
Lineage: Bacteria
Description: contains 16S-23S intergenic spacer region
Source: RNAcentral
GCUGGGCCUGCGCAUUGCCCCGAUCGAUCCGCGGUGCCUGCCCACCCUGCAUAUCCUUGAUGAACGGCCUCAGAUCGGCCACGGCGCCGCGGACGGUCAGCUUGGUGACGUUGCCGUCCCGCUUGGCGUCGAGCUUGAGGUUGUCGCCUGGCGAUAGCCGGAACUGCGAAAAGCUGGCGCUCUCCAGCCCGUUCUUCUUGUCGAGUUCGACGCGUCCCUUGAUCAGCGCCGUUCCGGCGUCGAGCACGAAAUCCUCGAGGUCGGGUCCAUCGCCCGAAAUCACGUAACUGAAAGCGAGCUUGCCCGGCUUACCGGCAGCCUUGCUGAGA